RNAcentral lists this ribosomal RNA (347 nucleotides) under uncultured bacterium. Its description in RNAcentral is "partial 16S ribosomal RNA". It matches the Rfam family "Bacterial small subunit ribosomal RNA", at positions 338 to 682 of the family's 1533-position model. The record is from RNAcentral.
CCUACGGGAGGCUGCAGUGAGGAAUAUUGGUCAAUGGACGAGAGUCUGAACCAGCCAAGUAGCGUGAAGGAUGACUGCCCUAUGGGUUGUAAACUUCUUGUAUAAAGGAAUAAAACGAGGCACGUGUGCCUUGUUGCAUGUACGUUAUGAAUAAGGAUCGGCUAACUCCGUGCCAGCAGCCGCGGUAAUACGGAGGAUCCGAGCGUUAUCCGGCUUUAUUGGGGUUAAAGGGAGCGUAGAUGGGUUGUUACGUCAGUUGUGAAAGUUUGCGGCUCAACCGUAAAAUUGCAAUUGAUACUGGCAGUCUUGCGUACAGUUGCGGUCGGCGGUAUUCGUGGUGUAGCGGU